RNAcentral lists this long non-coding RNA (426 nucleotides) under Elaeis guineensis (African oil palm). Its description in RNAcentral is "long non-coding RNA (EGUI_LNC049037)". Lineage: Eukaryota; Viridiplantae; Streptophyta; Magnoliopsida; Arecales; Arecaceae. The record is from RNAcentral.
UUGAUGUAGAUCCUUCUUCUCUAAGAUAGAUCUUCCCACGAAUCUGAACCAAAUCUGGAUCUUUGAUCAACUCUUGAUCUCUUCUUGACCUUCUUGUCCUCUUCUUCUUGAUUUUUCUUUCUUAAUUCUUGAAGCAACCAAGACCAAAAAUCAGUUGGAAGAGGGGACGCCCAAGCUUCUUGGGCGUUGGAUGAUGGGAUGCCCCACCUACUUGGGCAUGGGAACUAAAAGAGAGAGAAAGAGGUGGCGUGAAGGCUUUCUAAGGGGCUUGGGAUGAUCCAAAAAUUCUGCAUAAAAACCCUAAACAAAGGCCACUUAAAUAGAGGAGGUUUUAGAGUCCAAACCAAAAUCAGAUUUGGUGUGAAACACUUCUCCUAAUCGCAUUAGGACUCCUCCUUAUUCUCAUUUAUUCACCAUGCCUAAUAG